CCUACAAUAACAUGCAAGACAACCUCUAUUUAUAGGUGAGAUAUCAACUCUUGUAUUGAAUAACAAGAAUGUGGUGUAGUAAAAUGGGUACAUGAAUGGUCGGAUGUUACAUGAGUUACAAGCAUAAUUACAUAGUAUAAUGGGCAAAUAAAGACUUAGUGGUUAGAGGAAUUUCAAGAAACUCAUGGCCACAUUCUUCCACUAACAAAUAUAAGUAGUAAUACCCAUAAUAAAUAAUUUAUACCCACUAACAUAUGCACUUAAUAUUAAAUUAUUAAUUUAAUAGUAGAAUACAUAUACACCAACAC
This 308-nucleotide long non-coding RNA is filed under the name Capsicum annuum. RNAcentral describes it as "long non-coding RNA (CANN_LNC006694)". The record is from RNAcentral. Lineage: Eukaryota; Viridiplantae; Streptophyta; Magnoliopsida; Solanales; Solanaceae.